GAAAUGCGAUAAGUAAUGUGAAUUGCAGAAUUCAGUGAAUCAUCGAAUCUUUGAACGCACAUUGCGCCCGCCAGUAUUCUGGCGGGCAUGCCUGUUCGAGCGUCAUUUCAACCAUCAAGCCACCGGCUUGUGUUGGGGACCUGCGGCUGCCCGCAGGCCCUGAAAAACAGUGGCGGGCUCGCUGUCACACCGAGCGUAGUAGCAUACAUUCUCGCUCAGGGCGUGCUGCGGGUUCCGGCCGUUAAACGACCUUCAUAACCCAAGGUUGACCUCGGAUCAGGUAGGAAGACCCGCUGAACUUAAGC
This 305-nucleotide unclassified non-coding RNA is filed under the name plant metagenome. Its description in RNAcentral is "partial contains 5.8S ribosomal RNA, internal transcribed spacer 2, and large subunit ribosomal RNA". The stretch from base 1 to 105 matches the Rfam family "5.8S ribosomal RNA", at positions 50 to 154 of the family's 154-position model. The record is from RNAcentral.